Molecule: ribosomal RNA, 466 nt
Filed under: uncultured bacterium
Lineage: Bacteria
Description: bacterial SSU rRNA
Rfam family: Bacterial small subunit ribosomal RNA
Source: RNAcentral
GGGCCCGCACAAGCGGUGGAGUAUGUGGUUUAAUUCGACGCUACGCGAAGAACCUUACCGGGGCUUGACAUCCCGUGCAAUCUGUUGAAAGACAGAGUUCCCGUUUGGGACAUGGAGACAGGUGGUGCAUGGCUGUCGUCAGCUCGUGUCGUGAGAUGUUGGGUUAAGUCCCGCAACGAGCGCAACCCUUGUCCUUAGUUGCCAGCGCGUAAAGGUGGGCACUCUAAGGAGACUGCCGGUGACAAACCGGAGGAAGGUGGGGAUGACGUCAAGUCAUCAUGCCCCUUAUGUUCCGGGCUACACACGUACUACAAUGGUCUGUACAGAGGGUAGCGAAGCCGUGAGGCAGAGCCAAUCCCAGAAAGCAGAUCUCAGUUCGGAUUGCAGGCUGAAACUCGCCUGCAUGAAGUUGGAAUCGCUAGUAAUCGCAGGUCAGCAUACUGCGGUGAAUACGUUCCCGGGCCUU